Molecule: transfer RNA, 73 nt
Filed under: Mustela putorius furo (domestic ferret)
Lineage: Eukaryota; Metazoa; Chordata; Mammalia; Carnivora; Mustelidae
Rfam family: tRNA
About the family: Transfer RNA (tRNA) molecules are approximately 80 nucleotides in length. Their secondary structure includes four short double-helical elements and three loops (D, anti-codon, and T loops).
Source: Rfam by way of RNAcentral
GCCUGGCUGGUUCUGUCAGUAGAGCACGAGACUCUUGAUCUUGGGAUUGUAGGUUCAAGUCCUACAUUGGAUA